UUCGUAGGGUGCGAGCGUUAAUCGGAAUUACUGGGCGUAAAGCGUGCGCAGGCGGUUCGCCGUGUCCGAUGUGAAAGCCCCGGGCUUAACCUGGGAAUGGCAUUGGUGACUGCACGGCUAGAGUGUGUCAGAGGGGGGUAGAAUUCCACGUGUAGCAGUGAAAUGCGUAGAGAUGUGGAGGAAUACCGAUGGCGAAGGCAGCCCCCUGGGAUAACACUGACGCUCAUGCACGAAAGCGUGGGGAGCAAACAGG
RNAcentral lists this ribosomal RNA (253 nucleotides) under uncultured bacterium. Its description in RNAcentral is "partial 16S ribosomal RNA". It matches the Rfam family "Bacterial small subunit ribosomal RNA", at positions 524 to 776 of the family's 1533-position model. The record is from RNAcentral.